UUUUAUGAGAGUUUGAUCCUGGCUCAGGACGAACGCUGGCGGCGUGCCUAAUACAUGCAAGUCGAACGCUUCUUUUUCCACCGGAGCUUGCUCCACCGGAAAAAGAAGAGUGGCGAACGGGUGAGUAACACGUGGGUAACCUGCCCAUCAGAAGGGGAUAACACUUGGAAACAGGUGCUAAUACCGUAUAACAAUCGAAACCGCAUGGUUUUGAUUUGAAAGGCGCUUUCGGGUGUCGCUGAUGGAUGGACCCGCGGUGCAUUAGCUAGUUGGUGAGGUAACGGCUCACCAAGGCCACGAUGCAUAGCCGACCUGAGAGGGUGA
This 324-nucleotide ribosomal RNA is filed under the name Enterococcus faecium. RNAcentral describes it as "bacterial SSU rRNA". It matches the Rfam family "Bacterial small subunit ribosomal RNA", at positions 1 to 303 of the family's 1533-position model. RNAcentral also lists the same sequence under 1 other name. Lineage: Bacteria; Bacillati; Bacillota; Bacilli; Lactobacillales; Enterococcaceae. The record is from RNAcentral.